GUGCCGAACUUUCCAGGCUGACCUCACAGCUGUCCAGAACGCUUCACUGGGAUCAAAGUGAGACACACCAGGGGUCUUUGAUACUUGGCUGUGACAGCCUGCUCAGGACAAGCUGUCAGUCAGAGACCUUUCAACACACCAGGGCAGGCUCAUCUGACAAGAGGCGUCUCACUCGACAACACAUACAGGAAGACAGACUGUGUCCUGGCCGAGCCCAAACAGAUCAACUUCCUCUGCCCAUCAAACCUUCAUGUGUGGGAAUAGGCGUAUACACUGGCCUGUCCACUUUGCUCAGAGUGGGGGAACCCUGGAGGACACAUUGAGCGAGAUGCUGCACCGUUACAGAUGGAGACAUGACCAGGUCUUUCUUUAGUGCAACUGGAGGAUCAAUCAGCACGAGAAUCGAGCAGGACAAGGAGACCCAGCCCUUCGCAGCAAACCAUCGCUUUUGUCAGAGCGGGCAAACGGCCAAGAACAAAGGCAGACAUACGUUUGCCUCAACAAAGAUUUGGCUGCUGAUGGUGGACCUAGAGCGAUAGCUCAAGGAUCUGCAGCAGAAUGCCAACACCACCUUAAGGGGUCCACCUUAAGACCCCAGAAAGCACGUCAUGCUCUGGGAAUUGACAGUGCUGUGGAAGGCUCGUUCAGGAAAGCUCAUCCAAUAAUGGUAUGGUCAGAGAAUUUAGUAGUGGUUGCAGUCUGAUCUCUAUUCACCUUGCUGGUGUACUGAGGGAGCAGGGAGAGGAGAAGAGACAUCCACAGCUCUA
Solea solea (common sole) is the source of this 767-nucleotide long non-coding RNA. RefSeq lists it as uncharacterized. The record is from RefSeq and is a predicted model, not a curated record. Lineage: Eukaryota; Metazoa; Chordata; Actinopteri; Pleuronectiformes; Soleidae. The transcript is spliced from 3 exons.